CCAGACUCCUACGGGAGGCAGCAGUGGGGAAUAUUGCACAAUGGGGGAAACCCUGAUGCAGCGACGCCGCGUGAGUGAAGAAGUAUUUCGGUAUGUAAAGCUCUAUCAGCAGGGAAGAAAAUGACGGUACCUGAUUAAGAAGCCCCGGCUAACUACGUGCCAGCAGCCGCGGUAAUACGUAGGGGGCAAGCGUUAUCCGGAUUUACUGGGUGUAAAGGGAGCGUAGACGGCAGCACAAGUCUGGAGUGAAAUGCCGUGGCUUAACCCCGGAACUGCUUUGGAAACUGUGCAGCUAGAGUGCAGGAGAGGCAGGCGGAAUUCCCAGUGUAGCGGUGAAAUGCGUAGAUAUUGGGAGGAACACCAGUGGCGAAGGCGGCCUGCUGGACAUUAACUGACGCUGAGGCGCGAAAGCGUGGGGAGCAAACAGGAUUAGAUACCCGCGUAAA
RNAcentral lists this ribosomal RNA (446 nucleotides) under uncultured bacterium. RNAcentral's name for it is "bacterial SSU rRNA". It matches the Rfam family "Bacterial small subunit ribosomal RNA", at positions 331 to 794 of the family's 1533-position model. The record is from RNAcentral.